AUUGAACGCUGGCGGCAUGCCUUACACAUGCAAGUCGAACGAGACCUUCGGGUCUAGUGGCGCACGGGUGCGUAACGCGUGGGAAUCUGCCCUUAGGUUCGGAAUAACUUCGGGAAACUGAAGCUAAUACCGGAUGAUGACGUAAGUCCAAAGAUUUAUCGCCUAAGGAUGAGCCCGCGUUGGAUUAGCUAGUUGGUGAGGUAAAGGCUCACCAAGGCGACGAUCCAUAGCUGGUCUGAGAGGAUGAUCAGCCACACUGGGACUGAGACACGGCCCAGACUCCUACGGGAGGCAGCAGUGGGGAAUAUUGGACAAUGGGCGAAAGGACCUGAUCCAGCAAUGCCGCGUGAGUGAUGAAGG
This 360-nucleotide ribosomal RNA is filed under the name uncultured bacterium. RNAcentral describes it as "bacterial SSU rRNA". It matches the Rfam family "Bacterial small subunit ribosomal RNA", at positions 30 to 414 of the family's 1533-position model. The record is from RNAcentral.